UUAAUAUACAAAGAUAAAGCAGCACAGGCUUCUACAAUGGAAUGGAAUUGUACACAGUUCCUGCCUCCUAAAAAGGCGUGGUCAGAAUGCGCUGACGCUACCUCGUUGAUGAAAACGUCAAAGAUUUUUCAUUUUCGCGCCUCUCUCUUGCUGUGACCAACUGGAGCUGGCCUGGGUGACUGAAUUUGGUACAUCGUCGUGGCAAGAUGCGGUCUGAUUUCCAGUUGUUGGACGAGCAGAAGGACGCUAUGGAUGGUCCAAGACUCAAUCCACUGAAGGCUCUCCGUAAGAUGGUGGAUCUGAUGUCUGCUUUGUGGUCCUAUAGGACGACGCCAUGGAUUGGGGUCAGAGA
Molecule: long non-coding RNA, 352 nt
Organism: Alosa alosa (allis shad)
Lineage: Eukaryota; Metazoa; Chordata; Actinopteri; Clupeiformes; Clupeidae
Exons: 3
Source: RefSeq, a predicted model, not a curated record